UUCCAGGGAGAAUGUCACCGGUGCCUGCCGUCUAGGGGCGUCCCAGCUUGGCUGCACAUCUGGAAGUUGACGCUAUUAAAACAAACCCCAUUAUAUAACAAAUGGACAUCUGGAUCCCGUUAGCACUGAGUUUUUAGAAAAAGAAAUUGUUUUGGAUGUGCUCUCUCCUAAGAAUGUGGCAAAGCGCCCUCACCCAGGCUGUCCAGGAACCCAGAGACCAGGCUGCCUCUCCUGGGCUCAUUUCUCGAGUGGAGUUGACAUACAAUGAAAUGUAGAAGUCUUAAGUAAGACCCCAGGACCACAGAAUGUGACUAUAUUUGGAGACAGAUCUUCUAAAAAGCAACAGAGAAGACAGUCAGCCCUACUCAGCAGGGAGCUUCAGAACUGUACUGGAAUGUGUAAUCAUCCUAAAAUGUAUAUAAAGCACAUCAUCCUUCCCGAAAUGAGAAGUUCCUAAAUGUGAGAUUAAAGUAGGAACGCACUGUUUUUAUCCCAGUGGAUUCAAAUCCAUGAUGUCACAGGAAUGUCAUCCUUUGGUUACAAAUAACAUAAUGAUUAUACUG
Hyaena hyaena (striped hyena) is the source of this 563-nucleotide long non-coding RNA. RefSeq lists it as uncharacterized. The transcript is spliced from 4 exons. Lineage: Eukaryota; Metazoa; Chordata; Mammalia; Carnivora; Hyaenidae. The record is from RefSeq and is a predicted model, not a curated record.